GUGAAUAAGCAGAACAAACAUUAGAAGCAAUGAUGACAUCUGCAAACAGCGUCACCAAACUUUUACCUACCAUUCUUUCUUAUUAAUUAAACCAAUUUAAGGUCAGUUAUGCACAGGAACAUCAAUAUAACAUGGUAAAACUGAUACACCUAAAAUAUCAGAAUGAAGAACCUUUAAGAAACAUAUGUUGAUUUGGAACACAACAGAUUAAUGAUAAA
Pelobates cultripes (western spadefoot toad) is the source of this 218-nucleotide non-coding RNA. Lineage: Eukaryota; Metazoa; Chordata; Amphibia; Anura; Pelobatidae. The record is from the annotation of a GenBank genome assembly.